Molecule: long non-coding RNA, 347 nt
Organism: Juglans regia (Persian walnut)
Lineage: Eukaryota; Viridiplantae; Streptophyta; Magnoliopsida; Fagales; Juglandaceae
Exons: 3
Source: RefSeq, a predicted model, not a curated record
GGCAAGAAAGAAGAGAAAUCCCUCAAGCCCAACCGUGCGACCUACCUCCUAUUCUCUCCCAUUUCAAUCUCUCUUCCAAUCUCAAGCCAAGCACCCAUUAUUUCUUCUUGAAAAUAGCAAGGACCUAUAUUGAUGUUAGAAGUAUCGAGGAACAUAGAGAAAGUGACGAAGAGAAUGGGGAGCAAGGUAUUACUGCAGAGAGAGAGGCAAACGCUUAGUGUCUUCCAUGUUGGUUCGACUUUGCAUGGAUAAUGAGUUAUGUUUAUGGAUGUUGUAUGCAUGGUAGGGAUGGAGUCCCUUCUUAACUAGAAAAAUUAUGUUUUUAUGAACGUAUGAUGCACUCUGAG